Tigriopus californicus is the source of this 1034-nucleotide long non-coding RNA. RefSeq lists it as uncharacterized. The record is from RefSeq and is a predicted model, not a curated record. The transcript is spliced from 2 exons. NCBI's taxonomy places the organism in Eukaryota, Metazoa, Arthropoda, Copepoda, Harpacticoida, Harpacticidae.
CCUUGAGUUCGUAUUCCUCUUGUGCGGCCUCCAAGCGUCGACGAAGAUGAUACUUCUCUUGCUCGAGUUCCUGUAAAAUGAAACGAGAAACUCUCAAUCAAUUUCGGGGCUCCUCUUCGCAUCUGAGGAUUUACCUUGCCCCCGAGUCUGACAGCUUUACGGUAUCGCAAGAGAUGACAAUCCCUUUUGCGCCGUUUUCCAACGAACUUCAGUCAACCUUUGAAUGAUCUUAUCAGAACCAUAGUGGCACAGAUCUUCCUGGGCUCAUUUCCGUGGCUUCUCGCACCAAAACCAGCGGGAAGAAAUCUAGACCAUCGGAACUCUUUCGUUGGAUGGCAAAAUACAAUCCUUCUUUUAUGUUCUUAUCGUGGCAUUUUGGGAAAUGCACUAGUUUGCGAGAAGUUGGAACGCGUCUCUGGAUCGCAAUUACUAAUUAAGGCACUUAGAUUAAUUGAAUUAGAGCGAAAGAGUAUGUAACUGUGCGAAAAGGGAUAUUUCUGAAAAGAGAGACCUUGAAAUGAUCUAAAUGAGAAAGAGCGAUCGAUGAAUAUUGCACUUGCAACCCGAGCAUCUAAGGAGGUCACGUUCCAUUCCAAUUCAGGGCCGCUAGCCAAAGAUAUGCAUUGCAUAGAAAACGUUUCCACGGUUUUCAAUGGAUUCUAUCGAAUUUUUUUGGACUGUGAACGUGUCAAAACCGCUGUUGCUGUUUGGAAUUCCAAACCAAGUGAAACCAUGAGAAUUAUGAUAAAUGAACGUGUUUGGAAGCCUGUCAAUGUCAUUAAUUUGAAAGGUCUCCCCGUCUUCACCUUCAGCCUCCCACGUGUUCCAAAAAAGCGAUGGCCAUGGGAAGUUCUGCAUAAAUAAUACAACAUAUUCCACCGGACAGGUCAUCAACAGGACUCCUCCAAAAACAAAGAGCUCUUUGAAAUGCGAAGCUUCGACAAGCUCUUGACGUCAUUACCCCGAGUUUUUUUUUGGCUAUCUUCUGUGUUGCCGAUGAAUGGAAUACAUGUAAUCCUUUUCAAUGCAACAUA